AUUGUUGAUGUAUGUUGCCUGAGU
RNAcentral lists this non-coding RNA (24 nucleotides) under Arabidopsis thaliana (thale cress). Lineage: Eukaryota; Viridiplantae; Streptophyta; Magnoliopsida; Brassicales; Brassicaceae. The record is from RNAcentral.